UACGGAGGGUGCAAGCGUUAUCCGGAUUCACUGGGUUUAAAGGGUGCGUAGGAGGGCAGGUAAGUCAGUGGUGAAAUCUUGGGGCUUAACCCCGAAACUGCCGUUGAUACUAUCUGUCUUGAAUACCGUGGAGAUGAGCGGAAUAUGUCAUGUAGCGGUGAAAUGCUUAGAUAUGACAUAGAACACCAAUUGCGAAGGCAGCUCGUUACACGCAUAUUGACUCUGAGGCACGAAAGCGUGGGGAUCAAACAGG
RNAcentral lists this ribosomal RNA (253 nucleotides) under uncultured Flavisolibacter sp. RNAcentral's name for it is "partial 16S ribosomal RNA". It matches the Rfam family "Bacterial small subunit ribosomal RNA", at positions 524 to 776 of the family's 1533-position model. Lineage: Bacteria; Pseudomonadati; Bacteroidota; Chitinophagia; Chitinophagales; Chitinophagaceae. The record is from RNAcentral.